RNAcentral lists this ribosomal RNA (443 nucleotides) under uncultured bacterium. RNAcentral describes it as "partial 16S ribosomal RNA". It matches the Rfam family "Bacterial small subunit ribosomal RNA", at positions 338 to 795 of the family's 1533-position model. The record is from RNAcentral.
CCUACGGGAGGCAGCAGUGGGGAAUAUUGGGCAAUGGGCGCAAGCCUGACCCAGCAACGCCGCGUGAAGGAAGAAGGCUUUCGGGUUGUAAACUUCUUUUCUCAGGGACGAAGCAAGUGACGGUACCUGAGGAAUAAGCCACGGCUAACUACGUGCAAGCAGCCGCGGUAAUACGGAGGUGGCAAGCGUUAGCCGGAUUUACUGGGUGUAAAGGGAGUAUAGGCGGGAAAACAAGUCAGAUGUGAAAACCAUGGGCUCAACCUGUGGCCUGCAUUUGAAACUGUUUUUCUUGAGUACUGGAGAGGCAGACGGAAUUCCUAGUGUAGCGGUGAAAUGCGUAGAUAUUAGGAGGAACACCAGUGGCGAAGGCGGUCUGCUGGACAGCAACUGACGCUGAGGCGCGAAAGCGUGGGGAGCAAACAGGAUUAGAUACCCUUGUAGUC